GACGAACGCUGGCGGCGUGCUUAACACAUGCAAGUCGAACGAUGAAACCUAGCUUGCUAGGUCGAUUAGUGGCGAACGGGUGAGUAACACGUGACUAACCUGCCCCUUUCUCUGGGAUAACGCUCCGAAAGGAGUGCUAAUACCGGAUACUCACAUCGAGGCACAUGCCUUGGUGUGGAAAGUUUUUCGGAAAGGGAUGGAGUCGCGGCCUAUCAGCUUGUUGGUGAGGUAACGGCUCACCAAGGAGAGGACGGGUAGCCGGCCUGAGAGGGCUACCGGCCAAACUGGGACUGAGACACGGCCCAGACUCCAACGGGAGGCAUCAGUGGGGAAUAUUGCACAAUGGGCGCAAGCCUGAUGCAGCGACGCCGCGUGAGGGAUGAAGGUCUUCGGAUUGUAAACCUCUUUCAGUAGGGACGAAGCGAAAGUGACGGUACCUAAAGAAGAAGCACCGGCUAACUACGUGCCAGCCGCCGCAGUAA
Molecule: ribosomal RNA, 482 nt
Filed under: uncultured bacterium
Lineage: Bacteria
Description: partial 16S ribosomal RNA
Rfam family: Bacterial small subunit ribosomal RNA
Source: RNAcentral